UACAGAGGUCUCAACCGUUGUUCGGAUUCAUUGGGCGUAAAGGGAGCGUAGGUGGCGGGGUUAGUCAGGUGUGAAAUCUCGGGGCUCAACCCCGAAACUGCACUUGAUACUGCCUUGCUAGAGUACUGGAGAGGAGAUUGGAAUUUACGGUGUAGCAGUGAAAUGCGUAGAUAUCGUAAGGAAGACCAGUGGCGAAGGCGAAUCUCUGGACAGUUACUGACACUGAGGCUCGAAGGCCAGGGGAGCAAACGGG
RNAcentral lists this ribosomal RNA (253 nucleotides) under uncultured bacterium. RNAcentral's name for it is "partial 16S ribosomal RNA". It matches the Rfam family "Bacterial small subunit ribosomal RNA", at positions 524 to 776 of the family's 1533-position model. The record is from RNAcentral.